RNAcentral lists this ribosomal RNA (329 nucleotides) under uncultured eukaryote. Its description in RNAcentral is "partial 18S ribosomal RNA". It matches the Rfam family "Eukaryotic small subunit ribosomal RNA", at positions 1470 to 1796 of the family's 1831-position model. The record is from RNAcentral.
CCCUUAGAUGUUCUGGGCCGCACGCGCGCUACAAUGAUGAAUUCAACGAGUUUAUAACCUUGGUUGAAAAGCCUGGGUAAUCUUUUGAACUUUCGUCGUGAUGGGGCUAGACCCUUGCAAUUAUUGGUAUCCAACGAGGAAUUCCUAGUAAACGCAAGUCAUCAGCUUGCAUUGAUUACGUCCCUGCCCUUUGUACACACCGCCCGUCGCACCUACCGAUUGAAUGGUCCGGUGAAAUCUUCGGAUUGAGACUUUGAUUUCUUCACGGAAAACGCUGUUUUAAAAAGUUGAUUAAACCUUACCAUUUAGAGGAAGGUGAAGUCGUAACA